AUUUAUAUAGUUUAUUAAAAACAUUACACUUUCACUGUAAAAACAAAGACCAACUUUUAUAAAUA
Molecule: transfer RNA, 65 nt
Filed under: Reticulitermes speratus
Lineage: Eukaryota; Metazoa; Arthropoda; Insecta; Blattodea; Rhinotermitidae
Also listed under: 5 other names
Description: tRNA-Glu
Rfam family: tRNA
About the family: Transfer RNA (tRNA) molecules are approximately 80 nucleotides in length.
Source: RNAcentral